RNAcentral lists this long non-coding RNA (2594 nucleotides) under Homo sapiens (human). RNAcentral's name for it is "HSALNT0277429". The record is from RNAcentral. Lineage: Eukaryota; Metazoa; Chordata; Mammalia; Primates; Hominidae.
CACCAAACCGCCUUGGGGAUGGACAAGGCAUUAUCCGGCUGGGAAUGAGGCUUAGCGUGUGAAGGAGUGGUUCCGCUCCCAGCACCACGGUCUCCUACAAAAGGAACUCUGAGGAGCCAGACAGCUUGGCUUGGAGUACCAGCCACACCAAACUUCAUGCUCUGUGACUUUGGGCAAUUCAGUUAACCUCUCUGGGCCUCAGUCUCCUCAUCUGGAAAAUGGGCGUGAUGGCAGCUUCUGCUUCCUAAGCCUGGUUUGAAGAUGAAUGAGUGAGGAAACUGAGGCACACAGUAGUGAAAAAACAUGUCCAAAUCACACCUCUGGGAAGAGGCAGACCAGGCUCAGGGGCUUGGGUGAGUGACGACUAAGAGUUGUGUAGCAUGGGCUGUUGAUUCAGGCAUGAGCACGAGUGUCACUGGCAUCCCAGCCCCGGGCUAAGGGCUUAGCACCUGCUACCUUAUGCCAUCCUCAUGGCCAAUGCCAUCGGUUCCCAGCCCUCCCCAGCGGCAUCCCAUCUGCCCUGCCUGAAGAGUCUCCUGUUGGUUUGGAAGUUCACCCCCAAUGGUGCUCACAGAAGAUGACUUCAGUCUUGCCCCAAGGAAGCUGCCAUUGAAAAGCAUCCAAGAGUUUCAACUGAAUGGCAGUGGCCUCCGGUUCGCCUGGAACGCUCACCUCUGAUAAGUAGAGUCUUGCAAUGCUCAAUGGCCUCUCAUGAACACUCCCGUGUAAGUGACAAGUGAGAAAUGAGGCCCCAGGCCCUGGUAGCCAUUGGGACAUCCCCCAAGGCUUGAACUCCUGCCAGUCCAGCCUGCAGGUGCUUAGCAGGAUUUGGUCACUUGGCUUCAGCUGGCGUGUUAGUGAGUCUUGCCCUGGCUCAAGCAAAAGUCAGCGGCUCUGCGUCAGGGCACCCACAGGAUGGAAGGUGGGACUCACUCUGAACUGGUGUCAUGAUGCUUCCAACCGGCUCCAGGAAGACUACCAGCUGGGAAUCCCCCGCAGCCUGGCGGAAGAGCCCCCGUACCAAGCUCCUGAAGAAGAUCACCCUUCCCAGCAGCCUCAGAUGCAAGAACUGGGGAUGGGGCAGACAGACUUGUCACAGGGCUCCCGGGAGGCCUCACCCUUCCCUUCUGAGGGCCAGGGAGAGGAGAGCCACAUUUUGCCGGAAGGAUGCCUGGGGACUGGCUCAGCGAGGCUGGCAUUCUCCUAUUGAAGGAUCCUUCGCUCAGCUCUGCAGUGUGAGGCCCCAAUGCCCCUAGUCCCCGAGCCUGGGCCUUGAGUAAAAUGACAGGGUGUGCAGCUUUGAGUGAUAACCACCAGCCUUUGAAGCACAAGCUUGGGGCUCCCUGCAGCCCUGCAGGUGAGGGUCUGGACCAGGACAGAGGUUAUGGGCACUGGACAAGGACUUGCCAGCUUGCCCAGGAUGGGUGCCCAGAGCACAACUGCAUGGUGGCGAAAGGGCAGCAGUGCCUGAAACUGGCCCCCAGGCAGGCGGAUCAGGGCCUCCAGCGCCACCACACAUGUGCAACCUGUCUGGCCCUCUUGGGCUGAGCCAGCCCCUGCAUUCUCCGGCAAUUCAGGGAGAGGAAGUAGAGCCCACAGGAGAAGUCAGACUUGCUGCUAAUCUGGAAGUGGAGGCUCAGACUGAUUUUACUUUGAAAAAUGUGAAAAUCGGGAGAAUAUUUGUCCCAAAGCUGAUGAGGCAUGCCACGCUGGUGGCAUAAGCCUGUAUGUCCUAGGGGGCAGGGUGCUGCAAGCAUUUAAGAGUACAGAUUUUGGCGGGGUGUGGUGGCUCAUGCCUGUAACCCCAGCACUUUGGGAGGCCGAGGCAGGCCGAUCAUCUGAGGUCAGGAGUUCAAGACCAGCCUGGCCAACAUGGUGAAACCCUGUCUCUACUAAAACUACAAAACAUUAGCCGGGCAUGGUGGUGGGCACCUGUAAUCCCAGCUACUCAGGAGGACGAGGCAGGAGAAUUGCUUGAACCCAGGAGGCAGAGGUUGCAGUGAGCUGCCAUUGCACUCCAGGCUGGGCAACAAGAGUGAAACUCUGUCAAAAGAAAGAAAGAGAGAGAGAGGGAGGGAGGGAGGGAGGAAGGAAGGAAGGAAGGAAGGAAGGAAGGAAGGAAGGAAGGGCAGAUUUCAGGUGCAAAUCCCAACUUGCCUUCUUUUUAGUUGGUGGUCUUGGGCAAAUUACUCAAACUCUCUCUGUUUUAGUUUCCUCAUCUGUAAAAUGAGGAUCAUUGUGGAAGUUAGUGUCCUCCAAAGAAACAGAACCAAUAGGACGUAUAUAUAGAGAGGUUUAUUUUAAGGAAUUGGCUCAUGCAAUCAUGCGGGUUGGCAAGUCUGAAAUCUGCAGGACAGACCGGGAGGCUGGAGACCCAGGGAAAAGUGAUUUUGCAGCCUUGAGUCUGGAAGCAGAAUUCCUUCUUCCUUGUGGAACUUCAGCCUCUUCUUGUAAGACCUUCAACUGAUUGGUGCGGCCCACCCUCAUUAUGGAGACAGCAAAGUAUUUCUUUCCCUAAGCCUCAGGGAAGGAUGUGACAGCUGAGAACAAAAAACCCAUGUCUCUUGCCUGGAUUUGCAGUGUCGAAAGCUUAG